This 73-nucleotide small RNA is filed under the name Arabidopsis thaliana (thale cress). Its description in RNAcentral is "ATSL302270". Lineage: Eukaryota; Viridiplantae; Streptophyta; Magnoliopsida; Brassicales; Brassicaceae. The record is from RNAcentral.
AAAAGAAAAAGUAAAACAACGUGAAAGAGACAAACAUAGAUCUUGGAAUUGGAUAGUAGAAGACAAACUUAGA